CUACGGGUGGCUGCAGUAAGGAAUAUUGCGCAAUGGAGGCAACUCUGACGCAGCCAUGCCGCGUGCAGGAAGAAGGCCUUAUGGGUCGUAAACUGCUUUUAUUUAGGAAUAAACCCCCGAACGUGUUCGGGGCUGAAGGUACUAAACGAAUAAGCACCGGCUAACUCCGUGCCAGCAGCCGCGGUAAUACGGAGGGUGCAAGCGUUAUCCGGAUUUAUUGGGUUUAAAGGGUGCGCAGGCGGGCUAUUAAGUCAGUGGUGUAAUCCCGGGGCUCAACUCCGGAACUGCCAUUGAUACUGAUAGUCUUGAGUUUGGUUGAAGUGGGCGGAAUGUAGCAUGUAGCGGUGAAAUGCAUAGAUAUGCUACAGAACACCAAUCGCGAAGGCAGCUCACUAAGCCAAAACUGACGCUCAUGCACGAAAGCGUGGGGAUCAAACAGGAUUAGAUACCCGAGUAGUC
Molecule: ribosomal RNA, 459 nt
Filed under: uncultured bacterium
Lineage: Bacteria
Description: partial 16S ribosomal RNA
Rfam family: Bacterial small subunit ribosomal RNA
Source: RNAcentral